CCUACGGGUGGCAGCAGUAGGGAAUAUUGCUCAAUGGGGGAAACCCUGAAGCAGCAAAGCCGCGUGGGGGAUGACGGUUUUCGGAUUGUAAACUCCUUUUGUUAGAGAAGAUAAUGACGGUAUCUAACGAAUAAGCACCGGCUAACUCCGUGCCAGCAGCCGCGGUCAUACGGAGGGUGCAAGCGUUACUCGGAAUCACUGGGGGUAAAGCGCGCGUAGGCGGGGUAGCAAGUCAGAUGUGAAAUCCUAGGGCUUAACCAUAGAACUGCAUUUGAAACUGGUAGUCUAGAGUAGGGGAGAGGUAGGUGGAAUGCUUGGUGUAGGGGUAAAAUCCAUAGAGAUCAAGAAGAAUACUCAUUGCGAAGGCGACCUGCUAGAACAUAACUGACGCUGAUGCGCGAAAGCGUGGGGAUCGAACAGGAUUAGAUACCCGAGUAGUC
RNAcentral lists this ribosomal RNA (440 nucleotides) under uncultured bacterium. RNAcentral's name for it is "partial 16S ribosomal RNA". It matches the Rfam family "Bacterial small subunit ribosomal RNA", at positions 338 to 795 of the family's 1533-position model. The record is from RNAcentral.